GGGUUGUGAGGUUAAGCGACUAAGCGUACACGGUGGAUGCCCUGGCAGUCAGAGGCGAUGAAGGACGUGCUAAUCUGCGAAAAGCGUCGGUAAGGUGAUAUGAACCGUUACAGCCGGCGAUGUCCGAAUGGGGAAACCCAGUGCAAUUCGUUGCACUAUCGUUAACUGAAUACAUAGGUUAACGAGGCGAACCGGGGGAACUGAAACAUCUAAGUACCCCGAGGAAAAGAAAUCAACCGAGAUUCCCCCAGUAGCGGCGAGCGAACGGGGAGCAGCCCGGAGUCUGAAUCAGCUUGUGUGUUAGUGGAAGCGUCUGGAAAGUCGCAGGGUACAGGGUGAUACUCCCGUACACUAAAACACACAGGUUGUGAACUCGAAGAGUAGGGCGGGACACGUGGUAUCCUGUCUGAAUAUGGGGGGACCAUCCUCCAAGGCUAAAUACUCCUGACUGACCGAUAGUGAACCAGUACCGUGAGGGAAAGGCGAAAAGAACCCCGGCGAGGGGAGUGAAAAAGAACCUGAAACCGUGUACGUACAAGCAGUAGGAGCCCACUUGUUGGGUGACUGCGUACCUUUUGUAUAAUGGGUCAGCGACUUAUAUUCUGUAGCAAGGUUAACCGUAUAGGGGAGCCGCAGGGAAACCGAGUCUUAACUGGGCGUUAAGUUGCAGGGUAUAGACCCGAAACCCGGUGAUCUAGCCAUGGGCAGGUUGAAGGUUGGGUAACACUAACUGGAGGACCGAACCGACUAAUGUUGAAAAAUUAGCGGAUGACUUGUGGCUGGGGGUGAAAGGCCAAUCAAACCGGGAGAUAGCUGGUUCUCCCCGAAAGCUAUUUAGGUAGCGCCUCGUGAACUCAUCUUCGGGGGUAGAGCACUGUUUCGGCUAGGGGGUCAUCCCGACUUACCAACCCGAUGCAAACUACGAAUACCGAAGAAUGUUAUCACGGGAGACACACGGCGGGUGCUAACGUCCGUCGUGAAGAGGGAAACAACCCAGACCGCCAGCUAAGGUCCCAAAGUCAUGGUUAAGUGGGAAACGAUGUGGGAAGGCCCAGACAGCCAGGAUGUUGGCUUAGAAGCAGCCAUCAUUUAAAGAAAGCGUAAUAGCUCACUGGUCGAGUCGGCCUGCGCGGAAGAUGUAACGGGGCUAAACCAUGCACCGAAGCUGCGGCAGCGACACUAUGUGUUGUUGGGUAGGGGAGCGUUCUGUAAGCCGUUGAAGGUGGCCUGUGAGGGUUGCUGGAGGUAUCAGAAGUGCGAAUGCUGACAUAAGUAACGAUAAUGCGGGUGAAAAACCCGCACGCCGGAAGACCAAGGGUUCCUGUCCAACGUUAAUCGGGGCAGGGUGAGUCGACCCCUAAGGCGAGGCCGAAAGGCGUAGUCGAUGGGAAACAGGUUAAUAUUCCUGUACUCGGUGUUACUGCGAAGGGGGGACGGAGAAGGCUAUGUUGGCCGGGCGACGGUUGUCCCGGUUUAAGCAUGUAGGCGGAUGUUCCAGGUAAAUCCGGAACGUCACUAACGCUGAGGUGUGAUGACGAGGCACUACGGUGCUGAAGUGACAAAUGCCCUGCUUCCAGGAAAAGCCUCUAAGCAUCAGGUAACAUCAAAUCGUACCCCAAACCGACACAGGUGGUCAGGUAGAGAAUACCAAGGCGCUUGAGAGAACUCGGGUGAAGGAACUAGGCAAAAUGGUGCCGUAACUUCGGGAGAAGGCACGCUGAUGGUAAGUGAAGCGACUUGCUCGUGGAGCUGAAAUCAGUCGAAGAUACCAGCUGGCUGCAACUGUUUAUUAAAAACACAGCACUGUGCAAACACGAAAGUGGACGUAUACGGUGUGACGCCUGCCCGGUGCCGGAAGGUUAAUUGAUGGGGUUAUCCUCGCGGAGAAGCUCUUGAUCGAAGCCCCGGUAAACGGCGGCCGUAACUAUAACGGUCCUAAGGUAGCGAAAUUCCUUGUCGGGUAAGUUCCGACCUGCACGAAUGGCGUAAUGAUGGCCAGGCUGUCUCCACCCGAGACUCAGUGAAAUUGAACUCGCUGUGAAGAUGCAGUGUACCCGCGGCAAGACGGAAAGACCCCGUGAACCUUUACUAUAGCUUGACACUGAACACUGGUCCUUGAUGUGUAGGAUAGGUGGGAGGCUUUGAAGUGUGGACGCCAGUCUGCAUGGAGCCAUCCUUGAAAUACCACCCUUUAAUGGCUGGUGUUCUAACGUGGGCCCGUAAUCCGGGUUGCGGACAGUGUCUGGUGGGUAGUUUGACUGGGGCGGUCUCCUCCUAAAGAGUAACGGAGGAGCACGAAGGUCAGCUAAUCCUGGUCGGACAUCAGGAGGUUAGUGCAAUGGCAUAAGCUGGCUUGACUGCGAGCGUGACGGCGCGAGCAGGUGCGAAAGCAGGUCAUAGUGAUCCGGUGGUUCUGAAUGGAAGGGCCAUCGCUCAACGGAUAAAAGGUACUCCGGGGAUAACAGGCUGAUACCGCCCAAGAGUUCAUAUCGACGGCGGUGUUUGGCACCUCGAUGUCGGCUCAUCACAUCCUGGGGCUGAAGUAGGUCCCAAGGGUAUGGCUGUUCGCCAUUUAAAGUGGUACGCGAGCUGGGUUUAGAACGUCGUGAGACAGUUCGGUCCCUAUCUGCCGUGGGCGCUGGAGAAUUGAGGGGGGCUGCUCCUAGUACGAGAGGACCGGAGUGGACGCAUCACUGGUGUUCGGGUUGUCAUGCCAAUGGCAUUGCCCGGUAGCUAAAUGCGGAAGAGAUAAGUGCUGAAAGCAUCUAAGCACGAAACUUGCCCCGAGAUGAGUUCUCCCUGACCCUUUAAGGGUCCUGAAGGAACGUUGAAGACGACGACGUUGAUAGGCCGGGUGUGUAAGCGCAGCGAUGCGUUGAGCUAACCGGUACUAAUGAACCGUGAGGCUUAACCUUACAACGCCGAAG
RNAcentral lists this ribosomal RNA (2927 nucleotides) under Klebsiella michiganensis. RNAcentral's name for it is "bacterial LSU rRNA". It matches the Rfam family "Bacterial large subunit ribosomal RNA". Lineage: Bacteria; Pseudomonadati; Pseudomonadota; Gammaproteobacteria; Enterobacterales; Enterobacteriaceae. The record is from RNAcentral.